CUUGCGUAUAACGCAUAAAAUAUACCUUCACUUUCCGUUUGCAGAAAUUCACCACAAUAAGUAUAUACAAACGAUUGCAUUAAUAAGUAAACCACGAUACAGGCACUCUUCAUUGCUUCAAUAUUAUUGUUCUCGUUCAGCACCAAAGAGUUGACCAGAGAGAUGCAUCGCGAUAUUGAAGAAGAAACUGUCCGUCAUACAUAAUAUAAAACUUAAUGUGUAUGCUUGAAUAGCCUGGAUAAUCAUGACUAUCACAAACUGUGAACUACUGAUCGAGUUGCUCAAUGGACCAGAUGGAACCAGUAAUACCCAAUUUGUAUUGACUGCACAUCAUGAGAAUGGAAAAUAUUAAAAUAAUAUUGCAGUAAUUUAAUACACAGUUAAAUUACAAAGUUACAUUAACAAAAAUAACAACACAAAAUAAUAAAUACAAUUUUUACCAUUUACUGAAUCAUCCGUGAAGAAUAAUUGCUGUCUAUUCAUAAAUAUGACUACUGCUAUAUAAAAAGCAAUAAACAUAAUUACUCCGUAUAAUAAUGUAAGGAUGACGAAACAUAAAAUUCUCAUGCCUGCGACCAUCGCACUCGCAACGUAUAUUGCAUAUUCUAUAUUUGAAUUGGCGUCCUGGUUGUUCCAGAAGAAAUCCAUCAUAACCAAAACUUCCCUCUUCUAUUAACGUACCUGUGAAAUUAUGCCAAAGCUCCAUUGUAUCUUCGUGAAGCCCGUCUUCUUUUGUAAUGGCCACAAACCGUAUAAUCCUAGAAAGAAUCUAUGAGUAGAGAAAACGUAAGCGACGUCAUCAUUCCAACGUUUAUCCGUCAUUCUGACAUUAUCAAAAGUUUUCAAUGCUGCAUAUUAACGUAUUACUCUACAGAACUCAUGUUUUAUUAACUUGCGCAGUCUCUUCUUUUGCCAGCAAAUUAACUGCUGAGGAUGAGCUGUUCGAAGAAUGAUCAGUGGUAAAGUCUUCAUCAUGCUUACGUCAAAAGUGUACCAUGGUGAUUCAUAAAUUGCACAAGCCAAUUCUUUCGAUUGAAAUUCCAAAGUUUGUCCAGC
Solenopsis invicta (red fire ant) is the source of this 1056-nucleotide long non-coding RNA. RefSeq lists it as uncharacterized. NCBI's taxonomy places the organism in Eukaryota, Metazoa, Arthropoda, Insecta, Hymenoptera, Formicidae. The transcript has 6 exons. The record is from RefSeq and is a predicted model, not a curated record.